This is a long non-coding RNA of Erigeron canadensis, 572 nucleotides long. RefSeq lists it as uncharacterized. The transcript is spliced from 2 exons. Lineage: Eukaryota; Viridiplantae; Streptophyta; Magnoliopsida; Asterales; Asteraceae. The record is from RefSeq and is a predicted model, not a curated record.
ACAACCGGCAGCUUCCUUCACCAUUUUAAUUGCCAUUUUUUUCCUUUUUCUUAAAUAUUUAUAUUUUCAUACGUUCAGUUAUAUUUUUUUAAAGUUAGAUGAAGUGAAAAUAGGGUAAAGGAUGUGUUUAUAAAAUUGAGUUGAAUACUUCACGUUUAUGUAACGUGAUGUAUUGUGAUUCUUACUCUGUAUAGGAAGAUCUGAUGCCCAAUUUUCACUCAUAUUUUACAAAUCUGGUUUGUCCUUCCAACCAAUGUUGUCUGUGAAGAUAGUUCAUUAAGUAACUGUGCCGAUUCUGAUAUUGAUUUGGAAGGUUCAGAUUCAGAGUGACAGCAACGUGUUCAGAAUCAAAUUUCAGAAAUCAGAAUCAAUGAAUUUAGAGAGAAUUUUCAGAAUCAAUGCAUAUCGAUAUUUUAGACUGGUGUUCUUUGUAUAGAUUGGUAUUGUUUGUGUCAUGCUUUGGUUGUAUUAGUUAUCCUUGUUGUGUGUGCGUACAUUUGGUUGUGAAAUGAUCCUGUUUCAAAUCAUAUCAAGUUUUCACAUUUUGUUCCCUCAUGGACUGAAAUUUGUAA